RNAcentral lists this long non-coding RNA (368 nucleotides) under Zalophus californianus (California sea lion). RNAcentral describes it as "lncRNA (ENSZCAG00015013262.1)". The record is from RNAcentral. Lineage: Eukaryota; Metazoa; Chordata; Mammalia; Carnivora; Otariidae.
GGGAGAGAGAAAGUGCUGGGAGCUGGGAACCUCCCCCCAAGUCCCCACAUCAGAAGAGGACACUUUGGGACCGACCCCCCCCAUCUCCCCCAGGGCCUUCAUCCUUUGGGGUGGCAGCAGUGCUCACGAGUGCCUGUUUCCCUCCCACCCGCGAGGGCACCGCUCCCGCUCCUCCAAGCCCUCCUCCCGCCUCCUUCCGCAGGUGCUGCAGGAGAAGGUGGGCCUGUCUGUCACAGAUGUGUCCCGCCCCACCCAAGCCCAAGGACAGUUCAGGGUCUUCUUGGUUUGACUACACAGAUGCCUGUUCAAGAGUCUCCGGCAGUCCCGGUUCUGGGACUUCCCCCAAAUCAGGCAUGUGUCUGUGGCAU